This 537-nucleotide long non-coding RNA is filed under the name Triticum aestivum (bread wheat). RNAcentral's name for it is "long non-coding RNA (TAES_LNC010713)". The record is from RNAcentral. Lineage: Eukaryota; Viridiplantae; Streptophyta; Magnoliopsida; Poales; Poaceae.
UAAAUAAACAAUUAUCAUUAGCUUAUUAUUAAUUUAUUUGUACGAACUGAAUCAGGUUUCACACAAACAAUAUAAGCAUUCACCUCCAGGCAAUAUUUCUAGUACAUAUAUAAACUCAUUUCAUGGUACUUCUCAGUUCUUUCGGCAUCAACAUGUGCUACUACUGCCUUCCAUGCAACUGCUCUUAUCCUUGUCAUAACCUCGGUUAACACAGUUAGCUUUGCACGCAAUGUUGCCACUAGCUCGGUCUGGUGGCGAACAAUUGUCCACAGUUGUACACAGGUCAGUAUAUGUGCACAAAUCACAAUAGAGAUACCUCAAUCAACACAUAUAACCCAGCAGGAAAAUAUAUGUUUCUGUAUCCAAAUACGAGUGAAGAGAUUGUGAAAGAAAGAAGAAAACCAUACCUACAUAACGCCCUGCUGCAUGACAUGAGAAGACAGUGGUGGCCAUGGCUACAAGAGCUACCAAGCAUACGGCCUGUGUGUAGUUCCGCAUACCGGCCAUGGGAGAUAGUUAGCUAUUCCCUUUCUGCUA